Molecule: ribosomal RNA, 2139 nt
Filed under: Salmonella enterica subsp. enterica serovar Enteritidis
Lineage: Bacteria; Pseudomonadati; Pseudomonadota; Gammaproteobacteria; Enterobacterales; Enterobacteriaceae
Description: bacterial LSU rRNA
Rfam family: Bacterial large subunit ribosomal RNA
Source: RNAcentral
GCGUUAAGUUGCAGGGUAUAGACCCGAAACCCGGUGAUCUAGCCAUGGGCAGGUUGAAGGUUGGGUAACACUAACUGGAGGACCGAACCGACUAAUGUUGAAAAAUUAGCGGAUGACCUGUGGCUGGGGGUGAAAGGCCAAUCAAACCGGGAGAUAGCUGGUUCUCCCCGAAAGCUAUUUAGGUAGCGCCUCGUGAAUUCAUCUCCGGGGGUAGAGCACUGUUUCGGCUAGGGGGCCAUCCCGGCUUACCAACCCGAUGCAAACUGCGAAUACCGGAGAAUGUUAUCACGGGAGACACACGGCGGGUGCUAACGUCCGUCGUGAAGAGGGAAACAACCCAGACCGCCAGCUAAGGUCCCAAAGUCAUGGUUAAGUGGGAAACGAUGUGGGAAGGCCCAGACAGCCAGGAUGUUGGCUUAGAAGCAGCCAUCAUUUAAAGAAAGCGUAAUAGCUCACUGGUCGAGUCGGCCUGCGCGGAAGAUGUAACGGGGCUAAACCAUGCACCGAAGCUGCGGCAGCGACACUGUGUGUUGUUGGGUAGGGGAGCGUUCUGUAAGCCUGUGAAGGUGUGUCGUGAGGCAUGCUGGAGGUAUCAGAAGUGCGAAUGCUGACAUAAGUAACGAUAAAGCGGGUGAAAAGCCCGCUCGCCGGAAGACCAAGGGUUCCUGUCCAACGUUAAUCGGGGCAGGGUGAGUCGACCCCUAAGGCGAGGCCGAAAGGCGUAGUCGAUGGGAAACGGGUUAAUAUUCCCGUACUUGGUGUUACUGCGAAGGGGGGACGGAGAAGGCUAUGUUGGCCGGGCGACGGUUGUCCCGGUUUAAGCGUGUAGGUGUGUGUUCCAGGUAAAUCCGGUUCACUUUAACACUGAGGCGUGACGACGAGGCACUACGGUGCUGAAGCAACAAAUGCCCUGCUUCCAGGAAAAGCCUCUAAGCAUCAGGUAACAUCAAAUCGUACCCCAAACCGACACAGGUGGUCAGGUAGAGAAUACCAAGGCGCUUGAGAGAACUCGGGUGAAGGAACUAGGCAAAAUGGUGCCGUAACUUCGGGAGAAGGCACGCUGACACGUAGGUGAAGUGAUUUACUCAUGGAGCUGAAGUCAGUCGAAGAUACCAGCUGGCUGCAACUGUUUAUUAAAAACACAGCACUGUGCAAACACGAAAGUGGACGUAUACGGUGUGACGCCUGCCCGGUGCCGGAAGGUUAAUUGAUGGGGUCAGCGCAAGCGAAGCUCCUGAUCGAAGCCCCGGUAAACGGCGGCCGUAACUAUAACGGUCCUAAGGUAGCGAAAUUCCUUGUCGGGUAAGUUCCGACCUGCACGAAUGGCGUAAUGAUGGCCAGGCUGUCUCCACCCGAGACUCAGUGAAAUUGAACUCGCUGUGAAGAUGCAGUGUACCCGCGGCAAGACGGAAAGACCCCGUGAACCUUUACUAUAGCUUGACACUGAACAUUGAGCCUUGAUGUGUAGGAUAGGUGGGAGGCUUUGAAGUGUGGACGCCAGUCUGCAUGGAGCCGACCUUGAAAUACCACCCUUUAAUGUUUGAUGUUCUAACGUGGACCCGUUACCCGGGUUGCGGACAGUGUCUGGUGGGUAGUUUGACUGGGGCGGUCUCCUCCUAAAGAGUAACGGAGGAGCACGAAGGUUGGCUAAUCCUGGUCGGACAUCAGGAGGUUAGUGCAAUGGCAUAAGCCAGCUUGACUGCGAGCGUGACGGCGCGAGCAGGUGCGAAAGCAGGUCAUAGUGAUCCGGUGGUUCUGAAUGGAAGGGCCAUCGCUCAACGGAUAAAAGGUACUCCGGGGAUAACAGGCUGAUACCGCCCAAGAGUUCAUAUCGACGGCGGUGUUUGGCACCUCGAUGUCGGCUCAUCACAUCCUGGGGCUGAAGUAGGUCCCAAGGGUAUGGCUGUUCGCCAUUUAAAGUGGUACGCGAGCUGGGUUUAGAACGUCGUGAGACAGUUCGGUCCCUAUCUGCCGUGGGCGCUGGAGAACUGAGGGGGGCUGCUCCUAGUACGAGAGGACCGGAGUGGACGCAUCACUGGUGUUCGGGUUGUCAUGCCAAUGGCACUGCCCGGUAGCUAAAUGCGGAAGAGAUAAGUGCUGAAAGCAUCUAAGCACGAAACUUGCCCCGAGAUGAGUUCU